CCUCCUCCUCCUCUUCCUCCCGCUGGCUGAGGUUGCAGUACAGCUCCUGAGCGAGGACCCGGUGUGGAGCGGGACGGGCGAUGCCAGCUCACUGCAUCAUCUGACCGCCGUGUUUAUGAGAGCCCGCUGCACCAUGUCUGCCACACAUCUUGAAGAUACAGAGAAUGUGUUCGAUCUGAACGAGGCCAUUCCUGAGACGGAGCUGCUGGACAACAGCAUACAGAAAGGCAGAGCUCAGCUCUCGGUGAAGACCAGGAGACACCGCCCCUCCCGCUCCCACUACCGCGACAGCAUCAGCUCCACUGAGGGGGACGAGAGUUUGGA
Long non-coding RNA from Clupea harengus (Atlantic herring), 324 nucleotides. RefSeq lists it as uncharacterized. The transcript has 3 exons. Lineage: Eukaryota; Metazoa; Chordata; Actinopteri; Clupeiformes; Clupeidae. The record is from RefSeq and is a predicted model, not a curated record.